Molecule: ribosomal RNA, 460 nt
Filed under: uncultured bacterium
Lineage: Bacteria
Description: partial 16S ribosomal RNA
Rfam family: Bacterial small subunit ribosomal RNA
Source: RNAcentral
CCUACGGGAGGCAGCAGUGAGGAAUAUUGGUCAAUGGACGAGAGUCUGAACCAGCCAAGUAGCGUGAAGGAUGACUGCCCUAUGGGUUGUAAACUUCUUUUAUAUGGGAAUAAAACAGGGUAUGCAUACCCUCUUGUAUGUACCAUAUGAAUAAGGACCGGCUAACUCCGUGCCAGCAGCCGCGGUAAUACGGAGGAUCCGAGCGUUAUCCGGAUUUAUUGGGUUUAAAGGGAGCGUAGGUGGAUUGUUAAGUCAGUUGUGAAAGUUUGCGGCUCAACCGUGAAAUUGCAGUUGAAACUGGCAGGCUUGAGUACAGUAGAGGUGGGCGGAAUUCGUGGUGUAGCGGUGAAAUGCUUAGAUAUCACGAAGAACUCCGAUUGCGAAGGCAGCUCACUGGACUGCAACUGACACUGAUGCUCGAAAGUGUGGGUAUCAAACAGGAUUAGAUACCCUUGUAGUC